UCCAGGAACAAUGUUUUUGACAUUGUGUGAUCAAAGCUGUGAUCAACUGGGAAUUCCAGAUUUCCCAAGUUGUGUUCAGGAGUUGCUGAGUUGACGGGUGCAAGGCCAGCAGCUCUACAAUAGCGGUUAUGAAUGUGGAGAUGCAAGUGGUGUCCUGAAACUCUACAAAGUAUCAAUUACUAAAGCACUAGUGAAUAGAAGAUGAAUGCAACCCUAAGAGUCAUACUUGGAGUAGACAACGCAUUCCUCCCCUGAAUCGACGUCUUCAGGGUCAUCCCUUAGGUCUCAGCUAUGGCCCCAAACCUUCCCGAUACCUCAGUUCAGUUAUGGGGAAGAGGUUCAAGCAGGAGAAGGCCAUUCAUGUCUUUCAUAACAGCGGCACUUUUCUGAAUCCAAGCACCAAACUCAAGUCUGAUAUCUUAGAGGGUUUGGCAUCAGAAAUGAUCAAAUACAAAAUAUAUCCCUUGGAUGAAGACUUUGAUCAUGUGGCUCUGGCUCUAAUAACAAAACAUCCCUGUUUAAAGGAGCAAGGAUCGGUCUCAGGUCAUUACGGGUGGAAAGUACAAAAUGGCCAACUACCGCUCUAGACUGCGGAACAUUGGGUGUCCAGAAUUAAGCAUAAAUGCCACCAAAGAAAAAUGCGGGACAACAGGCAAAGGUCCCAACCAAGUGAAGAAGCCACGGAAAGCAGAGGCUUUCCGUGGCUUUAAUUACUGUCCUGAUUAUCCCAUAGGGAAAACAAAAGCAAGUCUUGAGCUGGAAAGACAAACGCUGUUGUUGGAGGUAAAGAAAAAGAACCAACCACUGAUCAAGGCUGCCUUCAGCAGACAGGAAAUCAUUCAGGACAUGCCCUUCAUCACCGAGUUCCGAGACAGAUGGCCAGCUCUGUUUUCUGAGAGCGAGGUAAUGUAACUGUAACCCACCUAAAAAUUUCUAUCUUGAAAUUUAAAAAAAAAAAUAGUUCAUAUGUUUUGCACAUGUUUAAGAGUUCAUUUUAAUAAAUUAGUAUAGCUUUGUUAAGUAUAAAAUAUGUGGGACAUUCCAUGUGGGUAGAAUAAUAUUUAGUAAAUAAUCCAGAUGGUAUGAGUUUCCUAUUGCACUGUUUCAGACCUAAAAUUCCUGGUAAAGUCAUUGAUUUCUUUUCAUUAUGAGCUGUUGUUAUUUUCGACAAUUUUGCAGCAGUGAUGGAACGGUUGGUGAUAAAUUCCUCUAGGUGGCAGCAGGACUGCGCUGUACACGUUCUUUUCCAUGCUGGCUGUAGAGGCAGAUAGACGUAAUGGUAGUUCUCUGUAAAGCAAGGAAAACGGGAUCCAAACCGGGGACUUUCCAGCGUAUUGUCUGAAAUGUAUACUUUGUGUAAUAGGUAAGCUCAUAUACAUCAAUUUUUCUAUCCUGUAUAAUUUGUUUAAGGUUUAAACACUACGGUUUAGUUUUAGUCACAGUGAAUGUUGCCGCACUGUUGAUUUCAGAUAACGUGUGUGUUCAUA
Long non-coding RNA from Amphiprion ocellaris (clown anemonefish), 1487 nucleotides. RefSeq lists it as uncharacterized. The record is from RefSeq and is a predicted model, not a curated record. NCBI's taxonomy places the organism in Eukaryota, Metazoa, Chordata, Actinopteri, Pomacentridae. The transcript has 3 exons.